Molecule: ribosomal RNA, 253 nt
Filed under: uncultured bacterium
Lineage: Bacteria
Description: partial 16S ribosomal RNA
Rfam family: Bacterial small subunit ribosomal RNA
Source: RNAcentral
UACGUAGGGUGCGAGCGUUGUCCGGAAUUAUUGGGCGUAAAGAGCUCGUAGGCGGUUUGUCGCGUCGACUGUGAAAACCCGAGGCUUAACCUCGGGCCUGCAGUCGAUACGGGCAGACUAGAGUUCGGUAGGGGAGACUGGAAUUCCUGGUGUAGCGGUGAAAUGCGCAGAUAUCAGGAGGAACACCGGUGGCGAAGGCGGGUCUCUGGGCCGAUACUGACGCUGAGGUGCGAAAGCGUGGGGAGCAAACAGG